CCCUUAGAUGUCCGGGGCCGCACGCGCGCUACACUGAAGGAAUCAGCGUGGCUCUGUCCCUGGUCCGAAAGGAUUGGGAAACCCGUUGAAUCUCCUUCGUGAUAGGGAUUGGGGCUUGGAACUGUUCCCCAUGAACGAGGAAUUCCCAGUAAGCGCGAGUCAUAAGCUCGCAUUGAUUACGUCCCUGCCCUUUGUACACACCGCCCGUCGCACCUACCGAUUGAAUGGUCCGGUGAAAUCUCGGGACGGCGGCUUGGUCGCUUGCGUCCGACUGCUGAAACUUGAUUAAACCAUAUCAUUUAGAGGAAGGUGAAGUCGUAACA
Molecule: ribosomal RNA, 323 nt
Filed under: uncultured eukaryote
Lineage: Eukaryota
Description: partial 18S ribosomal RNA
Rfam family: Eukaryotic small subunit ribosomal RNA
Source: RNAcentral